UACGUAGGUGGCGAGCGUUGUCCGGAUUUACUGGGCGUAAAGAGCGCGCAGGCGGUCGUACAAGUCGCGUGUGAAAGCCCCUGGCUCAACUGGGGAGGGUCACGCGAUACUGUUCGACUUGAAGGCAGGAGAGGGAAGUGGAAUUCCCGGUGUAGUGGUGAAAUGCGUAGAUAUCGUAAGGAAGACCAGUGGCGAAGGCGGGUCUCUGGACAGUUCCUGACGCUGAGGCACGAAGGUCAGGGGAGCAAACGGG
This 253-nucleotide ribosomal RNA is filed under the name uncultured bacterium. RNAcentral's name for it is "partial 16S ribosomal RNA". It matches the Rfam family "Bacterial small subunit ribosomal RNA", at positions 524 to 776 of the family's 1533-position model. The record is from RNAcentral.